RNAcentral lists this long non-coding RNA (2190 nucleotides) under Carica papaya (papaya). RNAcentral describes it as "long non-coding RNA (CPAP_LNC007576)". Lineage: Eukaryota; Viridiplantae; Streptophyta; Magnoliopsida; Brassicales; Caricaceae. The record is from RNAcentral.
CCGGACUUACCACAGAACUUGAGAAUUUUGAGAGAAGAUAGUCCACGAAAUUCCUAGCAGACUGGUGAAAUGAGGUUGGAAGCUGCUUGUUGGAUUCUUAAAAGUCAUUGUGGUUGGACAGCUUGUCUACAACUUCCCAUGAAUAUAAGGUAAGUGACUGCUACGAGUUCAAUAUGUGGGGCAUGUUAUGCCACCAGCAGAGCAACAAAGGAGGCUGCGAAUAAAGGAGGCUCUUCAUAGAGGUCCAUGACUGAACAGAUAGAAACACCGGGAGCCCAACAACCAAGUCAAAUGCUAGAUAUUAUAUUUCUUGUCUUAAAUUCCAAGGAAAGUACCCAAUGCAAUGCUUCUGUGUCUAUUUCUAUUAUACUAAAUCAUUAAGAAGAAUUUACCAGAAAAAGGACAAACAAACAGCUAGUAAUUAUACAUGUUUGUGAGAUAUUGAGAUCAUCCUCAAGUUAUUUCACCUCAGUGGAGGAAGCCAGAUUUUUGAAGAUCCUACUGAUGCUGGAUGGCGAUGGAUGAUUUAAACAGAACACAGAAGACACCAAGAAAGUAUUAUCUUAUUAUGUAUGAUAGAAAACAACAAUGUAUCACCCAACAGCCUAUGAUUUAAGACUAUAGACUGCAUACAAAAGUAUCUUUCUCAACCUAAGAAAUUGUGUCAACCAUGAGAGGUUAAUAGAAAGAAAAGAAAUCUUUCCGAGCCUUCCAGAAAAUAUUAAACAUAUAGAGGAAAACAGUUCAAGAUCUUCCAAUUGAGGAUUUAACAGAGAAACAGAAGAACAGGCAACAAUACUAAACUUGAUUCAGUGUCAUCUUUCCCGGUCUGUGUGUAUAUUAAGAAGUGAUUAAUGCAGCAAAACAUGGCAUACCAUUCAGAAGAACACAACAAUACAUACACACUUUCCCAAAUUUCCUACUUGGAGCACAUAAGACACAAGAUAAAAGCCACAGCUUAAACAGAAUCUCGAAGCCCUUGGAAAGGGGUAAAAGUAAAUAGGGAAUGAAUAGUUAAAAUUGAUCACAACUAUUAAUUGUAAAAUUUUCGGGGUAAGCCUUUGCUGCUUUUCCCGAAAACUGAUAAUGUAAGUUACUUCAGUGAAAAAUAUUGAUGCAGUAAAUAGCUCGUUCAGAAAAUAGCUUCUAGAUGGGGCACCCCCCACAUCUACAUUUUCAAAAUCGAAUAUAAUAUCAAGACCAAAAAGAUUUUAUGUCCGGGUAUUGAAGCUAAAAGUUAUUCCUUCGUUAUAAUGUUAGGUUUAGUUUCUGGAGAUAAAGAAAUACAAUAUGAAUCCCCAUAAGAAGAACCUAUGCAGACAAGGGGAAAAGGCAGUUUAAAUCCCAAUGAUUAUCAAGCUUCACAGCCUUUUUCCUUCAUCCUUGUCGAGGCCAAGAUCCUCUCUUCAAAAUGUCAAAGUCAUCUUCUGAAAUAAGUGACAUCAAUACCAUGCCAAUACAUUUAACAAGAUCUUAUGAAGCACAAAAUUGGAAAUAACCAAUCAUCAGCAACAUUUGUCAAAUGAUAACAAUUUAAUAAGUCUAGUAAUAAGUAACUUAUUUCAAAUAGACUAAGCAGGUCAAUGAACAAUCCGAUCCAAUAACCUUUGGCAAAACAGAGAUCCAAUCCAAUUACUAUCUGCAGAAUAAUUUCUUUUCUUCACAAAAAUAGAAAUAGUUUCCGGGUUUUAAUUUUGCACCUUUCCUCUUUGCAAUGGCCCAAAUUCAUGAAAUACUUCAGAAGAAAGAAGGGAUAAAACAACUAAGAGGAGAAUCACUGAAAUCACACUAAUGAAAACAGUAAACUCCAUGAAAUGGAAAAGGAAAACAAAGUGUCCCCAAACCAACUUUGAGGGAAACUAGUUUAAUUAAGAGAUUUUGUGAUCAAUCCACCAUAAUCUAUCUUCAACAUUGUCACGUUUCGGUGCCUAAAUCAAAUCUCACCCAAAAAAAAAAAAUCCAUGCAGUAUUACUUCUGUAAUUUACCUCUGUCUUCUGGAAAUUUCAAGCAAUCUGCUUCCCCAGUUCUUUUUUUCUUUAAGAGAGAGAGAGAGAGAGAGAGAGAGAACUUUGCUUUUCCUCACCAUAUCUCAUGGAAAUCACGGGUGGAUUUACCUUAUGCGCAAACAAGUAGGUAAUAUUGAAUUGAGUGAGGAUUCACAACAUUUAAUAAAUGGACAUAAAAUUAAU